RNAcentral lists this ribosomal RNA (253 nucleotides) under uncultured bacterium. RNAcentral's name for it is "partial 16S ribosomal RNA". It matches the Rfam family "Bacterial small subunit ribosomal RNA", at positions 524 to 776 of the family's 1533-position model. The record is from RNAcentral.
UACGAAGGGGGCUAGCGUUGCUCGGAAUUACUGGGCGUAAAGGGCGCGUAGGCGGCACUGUUAGUCAGGCGUGAAAUUCCUGGGCUCAACCUGGGGACUGCGCUUGAUACGGCAGAGCUAGAGGAUGGAAGAGGCUCGCGGAAUUCCCAGUGUAGAGGUGAAAUUCGUGGAUAUUGGGAAGAACACCGGUGGCGAAGGCGGCGAGCUGGUCCAUUACUGACGCUGAGGCGCGACAGCGUGGGGAGCAAACAGG